CACACAGAGACACUGUAGGCUGCACUCCCAGGUAGACAGGCAGGGAGACAGGCACACAGAGACACUCUAGGCUGCACUCCCAGGGAGACAGCCACACAGAGACACUCUCGGCUGCAGUCCCAGGUAGACAGGCAGGG
Molecule: non-coding RNA, 137 nt
Organism: Vicugna pacos (alpaca)
Lineage: Eukaryota; Metazoa; Chordata; Mammalia; Artiodactyla; Camelidae
Source: RefSeq, a predicted model, not a curated record